This 2023-nucleotide ribosomal RNA is filed under the name Candidatus Pacearchaeota archaeon. Its description in RNAcentral is "partial 23S ribosomal RNA". It matches the Rfam family "Archaeal large subunit ribosomal RNA", at positions 1 to 2071 of the family's 2987-position model. Lineage: Archaea; Nanobdellati. The record is from RNAcentral.
AGAAAGUUUCUACUAAACUGUUAGAUGGACAGCUUGGCUUGAGUUGCUAUGAAGGACGUAGCAAGCUGCGAUAAGUCUUGGCGAGGCGCAUGCAGCCUUUGAACCAAGAAUUUCUGAAUCCGAUUAGGACUCUUCGGAGUGUAUCGCAAGAUAGGCCGACGCGGGGAAUUGAAACAUCUUAGUACCCGCAGGAAAAGAAAACAAAAGUGAUUCCCCAAUUAGCAGCGAGCGAAAAGGGAACAGAGCAAACUGAAUCUCUUUGUGAAAGCGAAGAGAGAUGUGGUGUUGCAGAAAUCCGUGCGAAAGCGGCUUUUCCUCAUCAGUGAGUCAAACUCUGCUGGAAUGCAGGGCCAUAGAGGGUGAUAGCCCCGUAGAUAAAACUGGAAGGAAGAGUGGAUUUUCUAGAGUAGUACCUCCUGGAUACGAGGUACGAACUUGCUCUACUAAGAGCAAACUCUAAAUAUAAACUCAAGUCCGAUAGCGAAUAGUACUGUAAAGGAACGCUGAAAAGCACUUUUGGUAGAGAGUUAAAAGAGCUUGAAAUCUAACAGUGACACUCUCGCUACGGACUCCUGCUCGAAAGAGACAGGGUUUGUAGCAUACGUUUUGAAAAACGGGCCAGGGAGUUUAGUCAAGUGGCAAGGUUAAGCGCAAGCGGAGCCGAAGCGAAAGCGAAUCUCUUUGAGAGCCUCUGAAAGGGGGUAAGUCACUUGGCUAUGACCCGAAUCCGGGUGAUCUACUCGUGGGUAAGGUGAAGCCCCUCUAACGAGGGGUGGAGGCCUGAACCAGUGUUAUGUACAUGUACUUGGAUGACCUAUGAGUAGGGGUGAAAAGCCAAUCUAACCCGGUGAUAGCUGGUUCCUGCCGAAAUAUGCCUAAGUAUAGCCUCUUGUUGCUCGCGCAUAUAGUAAAGACACGGAUGGAGAAUGCAGGGCGUUACGCUACGGUUCUCUUUCCAACUCAGAAAAUAUGCGCUGCAUUACAAGGGAGUGAGAGCGUGUGGGUAAGCUACAUGUUCACAAGCUGAUCAAAGCAACGCGUGGUUAAGGUCCCUAAAUAUAAGCUAAGUGUAACGAAAGUUGUCUGCAACCGAAGACAGCGGGGAGGUAGGCUCAGAGGCAGCCAUCCUUUAAAGAAAGCGUAACAGCUCACCCUCCAAGGUUCCGGGCGCUGAAGAUGGACGGGGCUAAGCUUAUUACCGAUACCAUGCCGCAUUCUGGAUAAGAAUGUCGGGUAGGCAGGCGUGGCGCUUGAGUUGAAGUUUUCUCAUAAGAGGAGAUGGAUCGAGUGCUAUCGAGAAUCCUGGUAGCAGUAGGAACAGACUUUGCUGAAAAAGCAAAGUGCCGCAAGAGCAAGGGUUCCUUGGCAAUGUCAAUCAACCAAGGGUUAGUCGGUCCUAAGUCGCUGCUUAACUGCAAACGGCGAAAGGAUAGAAGGUUAAUAUUCCUUCACUACUUGAUUACAUCGCAAGAAAAGCUUGCUAGAUAGCCUCGGGAUAGUCGGAGUGCAGCCGUCGCUGCACAAGGAGCGAGAAAUCUGUGGAGCGUAAUGCUGAGAAUCAGAUGAAUCUCUUCUGUAUCUGCUGAAUCCUAGGGUCCGUGAAAAGCUAUGCAAGUUGAAGUCAAGUAACCGUACCGAGAACCGGCACAGGUGCUCUAGCUAAGAAGGCUAAGGCAUGAAAGUGUAAUCUAGGUAAGGGAAUUCGGCAAUUUGGUGGCGUAAGUUAGCGAGAAGCCAUGCCUUUCUUUGGAAAAGGAAGGUUGCAAUAACAAGAGGCGCCCGACUGUUUAACAAAAACGUAGCCAAGUGCAAAGUCGAAAGGCUUAGUAUACUUGGUGAGACCUGCCCAGUUGCGGUGCUUUAAAGCCCUUUUCAAGGGGCCUAAGACCCGCAAAACGGCGGGGGUAACUAUGACCCUCAGCUUAAGGGGGCAUUAAAAUUUGGCUAUAUGCGGGAAACUCUCGUUAAGUCUUUGGUACUCGAUUUACGAGUAAAAAUCCAAAGAAUAGAGACAAUCCGCAGG